This 73-nucleotide transfer RNA is filed under the name Varanus yuwonoi. RNAcentral's name for it is "tRNA-Asn". Lineage: Eukaryota; Metazoa; Chordata; Lepidosauria; Squamata; Varanidae. The record is from RNAcentral.
UAGGCAGAAGCCCUCUGGUUUGGGCGGCUAGCUGUAAAUUAGUUUGAUUACGGAUCGAGGCCCGUCUGUCUAG